Molecule: ribosomal RNA, 499 nt
Filed under: uncultured bacterium
Lineage: Bacteria
Description: partial 16S ribosomal RNA
Rfam family: Bacterial small subunit ribosomal RNA
Source: RNAcentral
GACGAACGCUGGCGGCGUGCCUAAUACAUGCAAGUCGAGCGGACCGAACAGGAGCUUGCUCUUGUUCGGUUAGCGGCGGACGGGUGAGUAACACGUGGGUAACCUGCCCGUAAGACCGGUAUAACUCCGGGAAACCGGAGCUAAUACCGGAUAACACCGAAGACCGCAUGGUCUUUGGUUGAAAGGCGGCUUCGGCUGCCACUUACGGAUGGGCCCGCGGCGCAUUAGCUAGUUGGUGAGGUAACGGCUCACCAAGGCGACGAUGCGUAGCCGGCCUGAGAGGGUGACAGGCCACACUGGGACUGAGACACGGCCCAGACUCCUACGGGAGGCAGCAGGAGGGAAUCUUCCGCAAUGGAAGAAAGUCUGACGGAGCGACGCCGCGUGAGCGAAGAAGGUCUUCGGAUCGUAAAGCUCUGUUGUUAGGGAAGAAGAAGCGUCGUUCGAAGAGGGCGGCGCGGUGACGGUACCUAACGAGAAAGCCCCGGCUAACUACGUG